UGGGUAACCUGCCUCAAAGAGGGGAAUAACCUCCCGAAAGGGAGAUUAAUACCGCAUAAUAUGUUUAGGUCGCAUGACUUUAACAUCAAAGGAUUUUCUUUUAGAAAUUCCACUUUGAGAUGGACCCGCGGCGCAUUAGCUAGUGGUGAGGUAACGGCUCACCAAGGCAACGAUGCGUAGCCGACCUGAGAGGGUGAUCGGCCACAUUGGAACUGAGACACGGUCCAGACUCCUACGGGAGCAG
RNAcentral lists this ribosomal RNA (244 nucleotides) under uncultured bacterium. Its description in RNAcentral is "partial 16S ribosomal RNA". It matches the Rfam family "Bacterial small subunit ribosomal RNA", at positions 118 to 347 of the family's 1533-position model. The record is from RNAcentral.